RNAcentral lists this ribosomal RNA (468 nucleotides) under uncultured bacterium. RNAcentral's name for it is "partial 16S ribosomal RNA". It matches the Rfam family "Bacterial small subunit ribosomal RNA", at positions 28 to 507 of the family's 1533-position model. The record is from RNAcentral.
GACGAACGCUGGCGGCGUGCUUAACACAUGCAAGUCGAACGGAAAGGCCCUGCUUUUGUGGGGUGCUCGAGUGGCGAACGGGUGAGUAACACGUGAGUAUCCUGCCCUUGACUUUGGGAUAACUUCAGGAAACUGGGGCUAAUACCGGAUAGGAGCUCCUGCUGCAUGGUGGGGGUUGGAAAGUUUCGGCGGUUGGGGAUGGACUCGCGGCUUAUCAGCUUGUUGGUGGGGUAGUGGCUUACCAAGGCUUUGACGGGUAGCCGGCCUGAGAGGGUGACCGGCCACAUUGGGACUGCGAUACGGCCCAGACUCCUACGGGAGGCAGCAGUGGGGAAUAUUGCACAAUGGGCGGAAGCCUGAUGCAGCAACGCCGCGUGCGGGAUGACGGCCUUCGGGUUGUAAACCGCUUUCGCCUGUGACGAAGCGUGAGUGACGGUAAUGGGUAAAGAAGCACCGGCUAACUACGUG